AUUAAAGAGUUCUAUAACUCCCAAACCCAUGUGAACAUACCUAACGUUGCCUCGGCAGGUCGCACCUACCUUGUAGCAUCCUACCCUGUAGGGCCUACCCGGGAGGUGCGGGUAAGCCUGCCGGCGGCCCACCAAACUCUGUUUGAUAUUGAAUUCUGAACCUAUAACUAAAUAAGUUAAAACUUUCAACAACGGAUCUCUUGGUUCUGGCAUCGAUGAAGAACGCAGCGAAAUGCGAUAAGUAAUGUGAAUUGCAGAAUUCAGUGAAUCAUCGAAUCUUUGAACGCAUAUUGCGCCCAUUAGUAUUCUAGUGGGCAGGACCGUUCGAGCGUCAUUUCAACCCUUAAGCCUUCGUUGCUUAGUGUUGGGAGCCUACGGCAACGUAGCUCCUCAAAGUUAGUGGCGGAGUUGGUUCACACUCUAGACGUAGUAAUUUUUUAUCUCGCCUAUUAGUUGGACUAAUCCCCUGCCGUAAAACCCCCAAUUUAUCAAGGUUGACCUCGAAUCGGUUCAGACAAACUCGCUAAAUUGAAGCAUCUUAGUCAGCGAAGGAAAAGAAACCAACAGGGAUUGCCCUAGUAACGGCGAGUGAAGCGGCAACAGCUCAAAUUUGAAAUCUG
Molecule: ribosomal RNA, 620 nt
Filed under: fungal endophyte
Lineage: Eukaryota; Fungi
Description: eukaryotic LSU rRNA
Rfam family: 5.8S ribosomal RNA (bases 181-334)
Source: RNAcentral